UACGUAGGGAGCAAGCGUUGUCCGGAAUCAUUGGGCGUAAAGCGCGCGUAGGCGGCCCGGUCAGUCCGUCGUGAAAGUCAAAGGCUCAACCUUUGAAUGUCGAUGGAUACUGCCGGGCUAGAGUCCGGAAGAGGCGAGUGGAAUUCCUGGUGCAGCGGUGGAAUGCGCAGAUAUCAGGAGGAACACCAAUAGCGAAGGCGGCUCACUGGACCGGUUCUGACGCUGAGGCGCGAAAGCGUGGGGAGCAAACGGG
Molecule: ribosomal RNA, 253 nt
Filed under: uncultured bacterium
Lineage: Bacteria
Description: partial 16S ribosomal RNA
Rfam family: Bacterial small subunit ribosomal RNA
Source: RNAcentral